UGCAUGUCGAGCGAAUCAUUGGGAGCUUGCUCCCUGAGAUUAGCGGCGGACGGGUGAGUAACACGUGGGCAACCUGCCUAUAAAACUGGGAUAACUUCGGGAAACCGGAGCUAAUACCGGAUACGUUCUUUUCUCGCAUGAGAGAAGAUGGAAAGACGGUUUACGCUGUCACUUAUAGAUGGGCCCGCGGCGCAUUAGCUAGUUGGUGAGGUAAUGGCUCACCAAGGCGACGAUGCGUAGCCGACCUGAGAGGGUGAUCGGCCACCCUGGGACUGAAACACGGCCCAGACUCCUACGGGAGGCAGCAGUAGGGAAUCUUCCGCAAUGGACGAAAGUCUGACGGAACAACGCCGCGUGAACGAAGAAGGCCUUCCGGUCGUAAAGUUCUGUUGUUAGGGAAGAACAAGUACCAGAGUAACUGCUGGUACCUUGACGGUACCUAACCAGAAAGCCACGGCUAACUACGUGCCAGCAGCCGCGGUAAUACGUAGGUGGCAAGCGUUGUCCGGAAUUAUUGGGCGUAAAGCGCGCGCAGGUGGUUCCUUAAGUCUGAUGUGAAAGCCCACGGCUCAACCGUGGAGGGUCAUUGGAAACUGGGGAACUUGAGUGCAGAAGAGGAAAGUGGAAUUCCAAGUGUAGCGGUGAAAUGCGUAGAGAUUUGGAGGAACACCAGUGGCGAAGGCGACUUUCUGGUCUGUAACUGACACUGAGGCGCGAAAGCGUGGGGAGCAAACAGGAUUAGAUACCCUGGUAGUCCACGCCGUAAACGAUGAGUGCUAAGUGUUAGAGGGUUUCCGCCCUUUAGUGCUGCAGCUAACGCAUUAAGCACUCCGCCUGGGGAGUACGGCCGCAAGGCUGAAACUCAAAGGAAUUGACGGGGGCCCGCACAAGCGGUGGGA
Molecule: ribosomal RNA, 899 nt
Filed under: Peribacillus frigoritolerans
Lineage: Bacteria; Bacillati; Bacillota; Bacilli; Caryophanales; Bacillaceae
Description: bacterial SSU rRNA
Rfam family: Bacterial small subunit ribosomal RNA
Source: RNAcentral